Molecule: long non-coding RNA, 251 nt
Filed under: Mytilus galloprovincialis (Mediterranean mussel)
Lineage: Eukaryota; Metazoa; Mollusca; Bivalvia; Mytilida; Mytilidae
Source: RNAcentral
CAAGCUUCAUUGGAUUCAAUCAACAAUAUGACAACUGGACACAUUACACAAAAUCGGCGCGUGCCAUAUAAAAUGUUAAUAAUUCUUUUAUUUCUGAAUAUUUUUACACCAAAAUUUAAAUAUAUGCUCUUUAUUCAAAUCUGUAUCGUACUGAAUGACCUUGGUGCUUAUUUGACUGGUCCAUCAUGGGCUUAGUGCACUUCCUGGAGCUUAGUGCACCAAGGCGGCCUAGGUGGUGUUUAGACGUACCG